AUCAUGGAGAGUUUGAUCCUGGCUCAGAACGAACGCUGGCGGCGCGUCUUAAGCAUGCAAGUCGGGCGGCGAGGUGGUGGCUUGCCACCACCCUAGAGCGGCGGACUGGUGAGUAACGCGUAGGUGACGUACCCUCCGGACGGGGACAGCCCCUAGAAAUAGGGGGUAAUACCGGAUACGGCCGCGGGCGCUGAGUGCCCGCGGGGAAAGGGGCUUCGGCUCCGCCGGGGGAUCGGCCUGCGUCCCAUCAGCUAGUCGGCGGGGUAACGGCCUGCCGAGGCGACGACGGGUACCCGGCCUAAGAGGGCGGACGGGCACAUUGGGACUGAGAUACGGCCCAGACUCCUACGGGAGGCAGCAGCUAAGAAUAUUCCGCAAUGGGGGGAACCCUGACGGAGCGACGCCGCGUGGACGACGAAGGCCGGAAGGUUGUAAAGUCCUUUGGCCCGCGAGGAAUAAGCGCGCAGGUAAUGGCGCGCGGUGACUGUAGCGGGAGAACAAGCACCGGCUAAUUACGUGCCAGCAGCCGCGGUAACACGUAAGGUGCGAGCGUUGUUCGGAAUUAUUGGGCGUAAAGGGCACGCAGGCGGCGCCGCAAGCCUGGAGUGAAAUGCCGGGGCUCAACCCCGGGACUGCUCUGGGAACUGCGGCGCUGGAGUCAGCGAGGGGCAGCCGGAAUUCCAGGUGUAGGGGUGAAAUCUGUAGAUAUCUGGAAGAACACCGAUGGCGAAGGCAGGCUGCCGGCGCAUGACUGACGCUCAGGUGCGAAGGUGCGGGGAGCGAACAGGAUUAGAUACCCUGGUAGUCCGCACAGUAAACGAUGCACACUAGGUGUCUGGCCUCGGGGCUGGGUGCCGAAGCGAACGCGUUAAGUGUGCCGCCUGGGGAGUAUGCCCGCAAGGGUGAAACUCAAAGGAAUUGACGGGGGCCCGCACAAGCGGUGGAGCAUGUGGUUUAAUUCGAUGGUACGCGAGGAACCUUACCCGGGCUUGACAUACGCGGGGAUCGUCCGGAGACGGGCGAGCGCAGCAAUGCGCCCGCGAACAGGUGCUGCAUGGCUGUCGUCAGCUCGUGCCGUGAGGUGUUGGGUUAAGUCCCGCAACGAGCGCAACCCCUGCCGCCGGUUACUAACGGGCAGAGCCGAGGACUCUGGCGGGACUGCCGGCGACAAGCCGGAGGAAGGCGGGGACGACGUCAAGUCAUCAUGGCCCUUAUGUCCGGGGCGACACACGUGCUACAAUGGCGGGGACAGGGCGAUGCGAGGCCGCGAGGCGGAGCGGAGCGCUCAAAUCCCGCCGUAGUUCGGAUCGGAGUCUGAAACCCGACUCCGUGAAGCCGGAAUCGCUAGUAAUCGCGCAUCAGCACGGCGCGGUGAAUACGUUCCCGGGCCUUGUACACACCGCCCGUCACACCAUCCGAGUUGGGGAUACCCGAAGCAGGCAGGCUAACCGCGAGGGGGCCGCUUUCUAAGGUAUGCCCGGUGAGGGGGGUGAAGUCGUAACAAGGUAGUCGUACCGGAAGGUGCGGCUGGAUCACCUCCUUU
Molecule: ribosomal RNA, 1543 nt
Filed under: Treponemataceae bacterium
Lineage: Bacteria; Pseudomonadati; Spirochaetota; Spirochaetia; Treponematales; Treponemataceae
Description: bacterial SSU rRNA
Rfam family: Bacterial small subunit ribosomal RNA
Source: RNAcentral